Molecule: non-coding RNA, 384 nt
Organism: Camellia sinensis
Lineage: Eukaryota; Viridiplantae; Streptophyta; Magnoliopsida; Ericales; Theaceae
Source: RefSeq, a predicted model, not a curated record
UCUCUCUCUCUCUCUCUCUCUCUCUCUCUCUCUCUCUCAUCUGACUUCACGGCUGCCCUCAAAUCCUUACUUUCCUCCUCCUAUCUGUAAUCAAUCAACCCAUCUCUCUCUUCUUGUUUUGUUGUUGGUCUGGUGAGAUUCGAGGUCCAUGGUUAACUUUGAAGAUGUUAAUGGGGGAAAAGAACGGACCGACCGUUCUUCCACUUGUUCGAUUAAGAAGACGGUGUAGUAGAUGAUGAAUUAGAUGAAUACUUUCAUCAACCCGAAAAGAAGAGGUGAUUCCGUUUGUGGUCUCUGUUCGUCUCUCUGAGAGGGGUUAGGUUCAAAAACGAAAGAGAGGCUGAAAAGCAAAAGAAGACGAGAGAAGAAGGAAGAAAAAAAAAA